GAUGAACGCUAGCUACAGGCUUAACACAUGCAAGUCGAGGGGAAACGGCAUCGAAAGCUUGCUUUUGAUGGGCGUCGACCGGCGCACGGGUGAGUAACGCGUAUCCAACCUGCCCAUCACUUGGGAAUAACCUUGCGAAAGUAGGACUAAUGCCCAAUGACAUCCCACGAAGGCAUCCGAAUGGGAUUAAAGAUUUAUCGGUGAUGGAUGGGGAUGCGUCUGAUUAGCUUGUUGGCGGGGUGACGGCCCACCAAGGCAACGAUCAGUAGGGGUUCUGAGAGGAAGGUCACCCACAUAGGAACUGAGACACGGUCCAAACUCAUACGGGAGGAAGCAGUGAGGAAUAUUGGUAAAUGGGCGAGAGCAUGAACCAGCCAAGUAGCGUGCAGGAUGACGGCCCUAUGGGUUGUAAACUGCUUUUAUAAGGGAAUAAAGUGGGUCACGUGUGACUUUUUGCAUGUACCUUAUGAAUAAGGACCGGCUAAUUCCGUG
RNAcentral lists this ribosomal RNA (492 nucleotides) under uncultured bacterium. RNAcentral's name for it is "partial 16S ribosomal RNA". It matches the Rfam family "Bacterial small subunit ribosomal RNA", at positions 28 to 507 of the family's 1533-position model. The record is from RNAcentral.